Molecule: ribosomal RNA, 253 nt
Filed under: uncultured bacterium
Lineage: Bacteria
Description: partial 16S ribosomal RNA
Rfam family: Bacterial small subunit ribosomal RNA
Source: RNAcentral
UACGGAGGGUGCGAGCGUUGUCCGGAAUCAUUGGGCGUAAAGGGCGCGUAGGUGGCGGGACAAGCGUGCGGUGAAAGCUCGGGGCUCAACCCCGAGUCGGCCGUGCGAACUGUUUUGCUUGAGCACUGUAGAGGCAGGCGGAAUUCCGGGUGUAGCGGUGAAAUGCGUAGAUAUCAGGAGGAACACCGGUGGCGAAGGCGGCUUUCUGGACAGACACCGACGCUGAGGCACGAAAGCUAGGGGAGCAAACAGG